AUGAAACCCAGUCACUCAGCAGGACUGAACUCUUCCCAGAACUGCAAGGCUGGAUCACAGGUUAAGUGCUUCUCUCCACCUUCUCCUGGGGCUGGAUUAGCCAGAAUCGGUGAAGGGGUCCACCCUGGGCAGGGUGAGCAGCACCACCACCACCAGGCGUCUGCUCGCCAAGCUCGCAUCCACUUUGCCCUCCCAGGACGGCACACUUCUGGCACUAGUCACCCUUAUAUUGUGUAUCCAUUGACCUGGGCUCCCCGUCUGAUCCGGGAGGCCACCUUGCCUCCUCCAUGACUUGCAGGGUGCGGCAGGACCACCGCUAAGGGAGGCACCCCAGGCAGCUGCCGCCUGCUUGGAGCUUUGACGCUCCCUGACUCCUGCUGAAGGACCUGGAUGAGGGUCGCAAGCCGUGGGGCCGGGGGCGCUGCUGGUGCCUGGCUGGCUCUCAGCUCUCCAGAGGGCGGCAGGGUGCAGAGCGCUGAGGAGACAUCUGACAAAAGCUGUGCAAGAUCUAGACCCCAAAAUAAACUGUAAAACCCUUCUGGAAGAUGCACCUGGAGACCAUAAUGUUAAGCAAAAUAAAUCAGGCACACAAGCAUAAAUAUUGCAUGGUUUCUCUUGUACGGGAAAUCUAAAAUAGAAAUAAAUCAAAGAGCAAAGUGAAAGACAGACAGUAGGAUACAGGAAGAUGGACCUUAUAAGCGGGGAAGGGACUGAGAGAUUGGGAGGGGUACAGUAGAAAAAGAACAAAGGGUGCAUACAGGUACCAAUCCCUGAUAGUGAGUAUAAUCAUUAUGUACUGCAACAGGUACUACUGCAAAUAAAAAUAUUUUAAAAAUUGCUAAAAGAAAUUGGCUGUCUAAAUAAAUACAUUUGUCAUGUUCAUGGGUCAGAAGAGAUGAUAUUGUUAGGAUAUUUUCUCCCCUCUCUCUUUUUCUCUCUUUCUCUCUUCCUUCCUCCCCCUGGUACUGGGGAUUGAUCCCAAGGACUUCAACUUCAGCGGCAUCCCCAGCCUUUUUUUUUUUUUAUCUUUUAUUUUGAGACAGGUUUUCACUAAAUUGCUGAUUUGGCUAGGGUGGGCUCAAAAUUGAGACCCUCCUGCUUCAGCCUUUCAGAGUUCUAGGAUUACAUGUGUGCACAACCAUGCUGGAAAUUCUCUUCAAAUUGAUCCAUACAGUCAGCGUAGUCCCAAUCAAAAUCCAAGUAAAGCUUUGUGUUUUUAUCAUAAGUCCCUGAAAUAUCAUAUAUUUUAUAUUUUUAUGCUUUACUGAGUAUAGCUGGUAUACAAUAAAAUGUAUAUAUAUGAAGUAUCCAAUUUAACAGGUUUUGUAUGUAUAUGUCUGUGAAACCAUCAGUGCAAACUAAAGAAAAUAUCUUUUGCCUCAAAAAUGAUACCAUACAUUGGGCAUUGUGGCACACGCCUGUAACCUAAGCACUUGGAAGGCUGAGGCAGGAAGAUCACUGAGAGUUUGAGGCCAGACUGGGCUACACAGUGAGUCCAAGGCCAGCCUGAACUGCAUAGUGAGAACUUGUCUCAAAAAAACAAAAAACAAAUAGACAAAAAAGCCACCCAAACAAAAAACAAUAUGCCAGGCAUGGUGGCACAUGCCUAUAAUCCCAGGAUGUGGGAGGCUGAGGCAGGAGGAGUUCAUGAGUUUAAGGCUAGCCUGGGCUACAUCGUGAG
Chinchilla lanigera (long-tailed chinchilla) is the source of this 1681-nucleotide long non-coding RNA. NCBI's taxonomy places the organism in Eukaryota, Metazoa, Chordata, Mammalia, Rodentia, Chinchillidae. The record is from Ensembl.